RNAcentral lists this long non-coding RNA (1071 nucleotides) under Chrysemys picta bellii (western painted turtle). RNAcentral's name for it is "lncRNA (ENSCPBG00000018311.1)". Lineage: Eukaryota; Metazoa; Chordata; Testudines; Emydidae. The record is from RNAcentral.
GAUUUUUCUUGGGGAUUUGGGGUGUGUGUGGAGUUGAGCUUUUAAAAACACACAAACACGCACAGAGCAACAGGUCUGGUUUUGCUUCGAAAGAUUGAAUAAAGGUGAUUUGUGGUGCAUGACCUUAACCUUUCCUUUUGGGUUUGGUGCCGUUUGGGGGGGGGGGGAUUUCGCCAAGAGAGGAGGGGUGUGUUAAGAACUAGGGAAUGCAAUUCGUCUCACCACUUUGGCAAGGAGUAACUCUCCCGAAAGACAGGGCACGUAGUGGACUAAACACUGGGUGCGAUCCAAAGAGGAUUUAUCGUAACAGCACUUCAGUUCCUUCACCUGAUGGGCUCUGGGAUGCGUACUUCUGACAUAGUUAGUUCAGGGGACAAUUGCUCUUCUCUCUGUUGUGCAUAGACGCUUGAGAUCCAUUUGGAUACAGGUACACACAAACAUGUUUACAGAAUCACCCUACUCAGGCAAACUUCUGUCCUAAGAAACCACCCCCAAAUAUUCCCCAAAUGUUCUGGCUACAGUGCUCCACCUGUAUUAGGAGACCACCACUGUUAACCAACCAAUUUUUGUCAUUCCCUUCAGUGUCACUUAGGACAUGUUUCAUAUUAUAAGGACAACAAGAGGAUUAGCUGGCCCAUAUCUGCUGGUGUUAUUUAUGGGAAUGAAAAUGCCAUUUGUAGUUGUGGUGUUGAGUCAGAGAACAAUGAGAGUGUAAGAAAACUCAUUUCUGGUUUGUUGAAAGGCUUUUGUAAUUUCCUGUUUUUUCAUGACAAUGGGGAUAUAAGUAGGGGAACAAGUUGGGGAAUUUAAGGGAAGAUAUAACUGAAGAAGAGUGUGCAAAUUAUCUGAACCCAAGACCAUAUACUAAUUCAUCUGAACCCUAGCUGUUCAGACCGGCAGCAAUGUGAAGUAUGUUGUACAGGAUAAUGCAAGUCAUUCCCCUAUGAUAUGUCAUGAUCAAUGACAAUCUAAUGAAUUCAUCUUAAAACAAAGUCAGAACAGGAAAAACAAUAGCUAUUUGAAAGACUCCUUUCCUCAAAUAAAUGGAGUCAAUAAAUAUGCUCUUUGUCA